CCUACGGGUGGCAGCAGUAGGGAAUAUUGCUCAAUGGGGGAAACCCUGAAGCAGCAAAGCCGCGUGGAGGAUGAAGGUUUUCGGAUUGUAAACUCCUUUUGUUAGAGAAGAUACUGACGGUAUCUAAAGAAUAAGCACCGGCGAACUCAGUGCCAGCAGCCGCGGUAAUAUGGAGGGUGCAAGCGUUACUCGGAAUCACUGGGCGUGAAGAGCGCGUAGGCGGGAUAGCAAGUGAGAUGUGAAAUCCUAUGGCUUAACCAUAGAAUUGCAUUUGAAACUGUUAUUCUAGAGUAUGGGAGAGGUAGGUGGAAUUCUUGGGGUAGGGGUAAAAUCCGUAGAGAUCAAGAGGAAUACUCAUUGCGAAGGCGACCUGCUAGAACAUAACUGACGCUGAUGCGCGAAAGCGUGGGGAGCAAACAGGAUUAGAUACCCUUGUAGUC
This 440-nucleotide ribosomal RNA is filed under the name uncultured bacterium. RNAcentral describes it as "partial 16S ribosomal RNA". It matches the Rfam family "Bacterial small subunit ribosomal RNA", at positions 338 to 795 of the family's 1533-position model. The record is from RNAcentral.